GCCCCAGCCUCCCAGAGUGCUGGGAUUACAGGCAUGAGCCACCACGCCUGGCCAAGACCAUAAAUCUUAAUUAAUCUAGUUCAUAGUCUCAAAUUCAUUCUACUCUCUGAUUUUUAUUUCUCCCAACUUACUGUGUGCACGCACCCCCCCUUUUUAAUGACAUUUCUCUGAUUUGCACUGCCAUCCUCUCUCCUACUUCAGUGAUCCAGCAUCCACAAUUCAUUUUGUCAUAGGUGAGGCUUACCUCUUUCCUGUCAGUUCUUCACCUGUACAGAUUGCUUCCUUUUCUCUUUUUGCACUUAUUGUUUGCAACACCCAAUGACUUCUUGUAGAGAGCCCAAUUCUGUAGUUGAUAAAACCCACACAUGCACGUAUGUUACAUCUGGCUCGGAAUUGGAAGCUCCAUGGAGAAAGGAAAUGGCUUUUGUUUCUUCAGUAUCUUCACACUCCCAAAUGUGCUGAUAUCUUUAGUCGUUCUUAGCUAAAUGAGUCAAUUGAAAUAAUAAUCUGGAGGGAUUUUUUUAAAUCUCAAAAAUUUUCUAAGUCCCAUGUCUCUUAAAUGAAAAAUUGUCAAAUGAAGGAGCCAUUUUCAGGAUUUUAAUUUAUGUAUUAAUGGUACUCUACUUCCACCCCAAAAGGAUUUAAGGUGAGCUUAAAAUAUUAUGAAAAUAAGAUAAGAUUAUUAAUUCCAUCCAUGCAAGCUCUAAAAUCUUCUAUUUCUAGAUACUAAUCUAAACAAUGAAGAGGUUAUUUUUUAAAGACAAAAGGUGUGCUUUAUAAUAUCUCUCAUUAUCAUGUUAAGAAAAAAAACCAAAAACACAGAUAAAAAAUUUCAGAAAUAUUUUUGCGUUUUCUUUGCAUAUCAUACACAUACACACACACACAUACAUACAUACACAGUCACACUAGAACUGUACUGGCAGUGAACAUAGGUUGUUUAAAGUAUAGCUAUUCAACUGUCAUAUAAAGUGAAAUCUAUAUUUUCUCUCUCCCUAUAUGACUAUAUAUUUAACAUCUCUAUGCAUAUGUGUGUGCAUACAUAUGUAUAUGUUAUAUACACACACUCCACAUUAUUAUUUCAAAGGGGAUUUUGCUCCUUCUGGCUACCAGCAAUAACUAGUCAAUAUUUACACUCUUGAAUAUCGAUGACAUCAUGCAUACACAGGAAAGCUGUGGAAAACAUCUCCAUUUUCAAACAGAGUUUUAAUUAUUUGUAAAGACUUCAAUUGUUCACUAAUGUCAUGGAUUGGUCCUCACAGUGUGAAGUGCAACUGCCCAGAUCCCCCACAGUAUUAUAAAUAGUCUUCUAAAGCCGGGUUGAUUGAUGUUUGGCAUAAAACUCUAUUCCUCUGAGCACAUAUAUUCCUUCUGUUCACUAUUUUCAUAGAAAAAUACCAGGGCUGAUUUUUUAUUCAAAUCUCCAAUUUAUGCAGGGUUUAAACUACUAAAUACUUAAAGCCGUUUUCAGAUCUUUCCCCCCUUUUCUGUUAGGUAGGUAACUAAAUCUUUGGCUUCAAUGCAAAUAAGAAUUGGAGAUUUAGCAGAUUCCUGUGGGGGAGAGGAAGAGUUUAUUAAUUAUAUUGAGAAUCAAAUAAUAUGCUUCUUUGACACUAAUGUUCCAUCUUUCUCCACCCCAAGUAUCCUAUGGGACAACUUUAAAGCCUUUAUCAGGGUCUAAAUUACUGCAUUUAUGGUUCCUUAGAAGUAGGAAUUUAAUGAAUGGCAUUCUGAGUUGAAGAGAGAAUUUGAAGGUUUAAGCUGCAACGGUGAAGCAAUUUUUUUCAAAGUAUGUGGCAGGGAUUGUAAUAUAAAACAUCAAAAAAAGCACAAUAAAAUACAUUUUCAUGAGUGUUAAUAAAUUUUUAAUACUGAUGAAAUGUAAAUUUUUCCUUCAUGACCCUUAUCUGCAUUUGACAGAGUCCAACAGAAAAUUUUAAGUACCUGUUUAAAGCAAUUUACAAGAUACUGUGGAGAUUCCCAGCAAUAAAGAAUGUACUAUAGUUAAGCUGGAAUCCAACUCCUGAAUUUCUGGAGCCCUGAAGACCACUUAGUCUUACUCACAAGAAUUGAAUGGAAUGUGAAUCUACACUCAGGUGAAGCCAGGGUAUUUUGAACGUCCCUACAAGACUGAAGCACCACUGGGAAAUAAGUAAUAGAGAUGCCAUCAUUGUGGAGGUCAUAAUGCUUGUCCUGAACACGAGGGGUCUCUAGUGAGGCACCAAUUCAGCUCCUCUUCUGUGGAGAGACUACAUGGGUGCUGAAGAAACAAAGACACAACGCAGCUCCUCUCAAAGGAGUUCAGAGCUUAGCAGGGGAGACAGAACCAUGAAUGCAUAGUUACGCAUCAAUGUGCUGCACGAGCACUGAAGCCCAAGCACAAGCGGCCUGAGUCCCAAAAACAUUUGCUGACUGCUGUUCUAUCUAGGAUAUCAUCAGUGUGUAGAUGAUCAGAGUUCAUGUCAGUGUUCCUACAAGCCAAUGAAGAAAAACAGAGAUCUGUGUUCUGAAUGGAAAAAUUCCUACUGAUGCCACCCACUAGUCUGGAACAAGUCAGUCUCAAACAUAACAACAGACACUGGGGAGCUCUCCAACAAAAGAUCACCUCCCAAAGAACAGGAUGGUGUCGAAGACUGAAUGCCAGCCUGAGGAAACAGAAAUACUACAGAAGCACGCCAGAGCCUGCAGUGUCUCCUCGCUGCCUCUCAAUGAACUGCUAAAAGACCAAGAACUCUGCUGAGAGAUAAGAAGAGGGGAGGGUGUGCUGCAGGUGGUGCUGGGAGGCCCAGACCUUCUCCUGACAUCUGGGGCUGGCUACAGGAAACAGAAACAUCACCCAGGCCUUGGCGCGAGACAGGACAGAGGCAGAUUGUGACUCAGAUCUGCAGGUGGAAAGUGGGCCUUUCGUUUUCUCCUAGGGGUAGAGCAAAGCCAGAGGGCUCAGUCAGAGGAAACCUAAGGCAGUUCAUGAUCCCUUCAACUUUAUACCAUUUCCUCAAAACUGCCUCCAAACAGUGGGCAACUGGAAAGGUGGUCUGACCUCCAGUGAUCACACAGUAUGCAUUAUAACAGAAGGCUGUCACUGUCAAUUGCAUGGCUCCCUCACUAUGCAUUCCUUCUAUCAAUUUACGACAACACACUGUAGUGAGUACCUGCACAUUGCUGGGUAUUUUGGCAGACAUUGAUAGUAGAUGAAUAACACCUGGUACUUGACCUUGAGACGCUCACUGCCUAGUGUGGGGAACCAAUGGUUGCAAUAUAAAGUAUUAACUAGAGGGAUAGAGGACUGCCUGAGGAUCUCUGCACUCAGAGGAAGGGCCAUGAGAUCAGCCAGGACAGUAGGGAGGCAGUGACUCAUGAAAUUAGCAAGUGGUGAGAAGAGGGCAGUAGAUUCAGCGGCUGCUAAAAAAGGUUACUGAACUUUUUGUUUCAUCAAUGCCAAGAAAUUAAUCUGUUUUAGCCUCUUUCAUGGCCUCUGUUUGAAAUUUUUUAACUUUUUUUUUUUUUUUAGAUUUAGGGGUACAAGGACAGUUGUAUUGCAUGAGUAUAUCAUAUAGUGGUGAAGCCUGGGCUUUAAGUGCACCUAUCACCCGAAUAGCGUACAUUGUACCCACUAGGUAGUAUUUCAUUUCUCACCCUUCUUCCACCUUUUGGAAUCUCCAGUGUUUGUUGUUCUACUCUGUAUGCCCAUGUGUACUCAUUGUUUCACUCCCACUUAUAAGUGAGAACAUGUGCUUUUGACUUUCUGUUUCUGAGUUGUUUCACUUAGGAUAAUGCAUGUUCCUGUUUUGAUUCAGUCAAAAUCCUGGGGUCAGCACUGACAAUGUGAUUAACCCCUGUCCUAAAUUCACUGCAGAGGAACUGCUCCCAUAUGACUACUUAUUACCACCCAAGCCAGAAACCACAAAGAUAUUCUGACCUCUCCUCCUUCACUCCCCACCAACUGGUGAGUAAGCUAGUCACCAAGUCUUGAUUCUACUUGCAAACAUCUUUGGAAGGGAUCUCUCACUCCACACAGUCUCUGUCAUUGCCAAGUAUACCCAUUACCUCUGCUCUGUCCUACGGCUCAUCAUUCCUCAUCUACAUGCUGCACCAACCUCCUAACUCCCAUUCCUCCCCCUCCUAGUUCACUGCCAUAGCGUAAUCUUUCUAUAUCACGGAUCAUAUUGU
This 4167-nucleotide long non-coding RNA is filed under the name Homo sapiens (human). RNAcentral's name for it is "HSALNT0394412". Lineage: Eukaryota; Metazoa; Chordata; Mammalia; Primates; Hominidae. The record is from RNAcentral.